UUUCUCUCUACUCAGGCUUUAUGAAGCAUGAUUUUCAAACUCUCUGCGAUGAUCACAUGCAUAAUUGCUUCUGUUGCUGUUUUUCAGUACUUCCAGUUUAUGUUACAUUUCUAAUGAAAACUGAUACAUUGCAGUCACCAGGAGUAAGCCAACAUUUACAAUCAAUUACCAUGCAAUGCCAUCUGAAAUACUGCAGCUAUCACCUGCUCGACAUUCAAAACAAUAGAGGGGUGGCUUGGACAGGGCCUGAACAUGGGAUGUCUUGCCCCUCAAGCACCUUGCAGGGAUCCUGGGCCAGGUCUGCACAUCCAGUGGCAGAGCUGCAGAAGCAGCCAUCGCACCCCUCCAGCUGCUUCAUCCCACCCCUAUUCCGCCCACAGCCAGGCAAACAGCUGUGCCAGCACAAUGCAGCGGGCGGUGCAGAAUGAGGGAUGGGGACGAGGAGGGAUGCUUAAACCACGAGGGAAAUACAUGUGGUGGCAGUACAAAGCACUCAAGUUCCUUGAGGUGCUAUCUCCGUGCAGUCCAACAGCACAAUUACUCUGUUGCAUCUGAACAUCCAUUUUGCCAUCUUCUCUUGAGGGGACAGCCUCAGGAGAAUGGAAGAACAACACUACAUUUAGCCAGCUAUGCCUUCUUUGCUGUACCAGUCGAUCCUGGGGACUGAUUUCAGCCCAAAGGCACAGACAAAAUUUCAACCUCUGGAUCCAGCUGCAGAACCAAAGCCAGCAGGAGACAAAUCCCCUAAAGACAUGAGAGCAAGCUGGUGUUGGUGGAAUGAUAUGGGAGCACUGAGCAUGCAGCACCAGUUUAGUGGUGAGAGGUGGAUUUAAAAUGUGCUGCCUCCUCCAUGGUAACUGCUUGUGUGCACGUGAGGAUAAAGCAAGGUAACUCAAGGCAGCCCAGACCUCCUCGUAUGCAUGCACAGUCUUGUAUAUUCACAUGCCAGCUUACCAUCCAGUGACUUGACCAUGUGUUGAGUCCUAGGGGAAUCAGGCAGAACAGUGUCACAGUGGAAUUGAGAACAUCACUGUCCCAAAACAGAGAUGAAUGACUUAGACACAAAAAUAUAGGCUUUGUAAAACAAGAACCUGCUGUGAAAAUAAAUGUUUUGUGGAUGUAAAGUGGGUAAAUUCCAGUCCCUCGGUUUGAGAAACACAAGUCAUGAGUACCAACAAAUGCAAUUGCAAGAGUUUGUCUCCUUGGUAGGUAUCUUCCAGCAGAUGAAAGUGACCACACAGUUUAAACAACUUGUAAAUUUGCAAUUUCUUCUUAGCUCAAAACAAACUUAGUUGUAUUGUUUAAGGAUUAGGUCUCCUCCUCUCUUCGGGUCUUUAAUCUGUAUCAGUAGCUUCUAGAAUCAGAUGUUUCCAAUACAAGUUCAAGGAAUUCUCAGAAAAGAUCCACAGUAAUCAGCCUGGUAUCUGUCUUUAUCUCACUUGAGUGAUCUGGAGAUGAGGUUUUCCAUCUCCUUCUGUACUUGUUUGUUUGACUAUUUUUGUUUUGAAUAUUCUUGCUACUCAUGAAAAACACUAUUUUUUCUAUGUAACUUGAGAACUACUUGAUCUCAGUUUUCUGUUGUGGCAAUGUGUUCUCUCAUCUAAAAUACUCUGGUUUGAAAAAACAUUUUCCUUCAUUGGUAGUGAGUGUGUAAACUCUCAUUUUCAGCGGCUGUUUCACCAUCCUUAUGUAUCAAACGAGGGAAUGGAAGCUCUCAAUCUUUUUUUCUGCAACAAACCAUGUAAUCAGCAUUGGCAUAGUAAGCAAGGAUAGAGCAAUCUUUGUGCCGACAUAAGUGCCCAAAACAUUGGCUCCUGCCUGUGCAUUAACAACAUCAUAUAUCUUUUGGAAACACUGUCUUAAAAUGAUUUUUAGUUUUGAAUAACCUUUAAGGCAGAAAAGCACAAAAAUAAAGAUCUGAAAGGAGUCCUGUGCCCUUUCCCCCUACCCUGUAACUUUUCAGUUACGCAAUGCAAGUUCCUAAAGGUGUAACAAGCUUAAUUAUUUGGCUUCAGGCAUUAGACAGCCUACAUGCAAUCCACCAAUUCUUCACAAAUAUACUAUUCUGACUGCAAAUGGAGCUGUGCAGCCAUAGACUGCUCUGCAGGCUUCUGUAGGACAAUGGGCUCCUUCCAGUCUUACUAAAAAGCCACUGUGAACAGCUCCUCCAAAUGCACAAUUAAAGCUUUGCAAGUCAUAGCUUGUCUCUCCCCAGCCUGUGGCUAAAACCACUCUUUCUUUCCAGCUCCCAUUUGACCUAGAAGCAAGUUCCCAAUUUCAGUUUUUUGAUAUGCCAGAGUAUCACAUUGUGAGACUAAGCAUUUUGAAGGAGAUAUUUCUUCUCAUGACCUUCUGGAUCCUUGGAGAACAUAGUUUAGAGCUUAAUGGAGUUUGAGGACCAAUCUCUUCUUUGACUGAACUCCAGAAACUGUCCCUAGCCUCAUGUUAUUUAUACUUCAUAAAGAUUUGGACACACAGCGGCUAAUGUUUGGAAAAUACUUGCAUGAAAAAAGAAGGUGGCUGAAAAACUCAGAGUGCUAAUUCUUAUGAACUGCAACUUGAAUGCUUGAAAUAAGUCUCUAAAAAAGGAAAACCAUGCAUACUAAUUCUUCUGAGGUUGUAGAAAAGCUUGAAAAAAAAGAAGAAGGAGACGUAAUGCAGCUUUGUAUAGGUUGCAACAGCAAAGAUUUGGCUCAGCAAAAGCUCAUGGUUAGUACAACAAAAUACGUACAUGUUUUUCAUCAGAAUUACAGGAUUAAAUAAGGAGGUUGAAUUAUGGCAAAUGGAAAUUACUAUUUGAUGGAUAAGUGUUAGAGGCACAUAGAUAGCUCUGGGUGCCACAUGUGAAAUCAUGAUCUCACUGAAGUCAAUGGGAAUUUUUCAACAUCUGGAUUUCAUGCCACUUACGUCUUCAGAAAGAGGAGAGUUAAUGUUGGUAUAUGAGUGUGUGUGUGUGUGUGUGUGCCUAAUCAAAGUGUUAUCUUUUUUAGAUAGCAAAAAAUCAGGCAUUAAUUAGCAGCAAGCAGUGCAGUUGGGUGAGGAACUGCGUGGAGAAUACAGCUGAAAGAGCAAAGUGGACCAGACUGGGAAAAGCAGCAGCCGGAGCGGAGCUCACAGAACACUAUAAAGCAGUAGGCUGGAAUAGUACACCAUCCUGGACAGGGAAUUAAGGAAGAAAUGAAAUAGGCCAGCUUGCCAGGAGGCACUGCGGCUUACUGGACAGUUCUGCUUCUAAUGAGCCUCCAGCAAGCCAUGUUUGCAGGAUGUCAAUAGUACUCAUGCUUGUAUUUAUUUUAUUUAUGAAAAGGCAUCUCUCUGGCAAUGGCAAAUGUGGAAAUAUUCUAGAGAUACAUAAGAGCCAAUGCAACCUCUUUGCUUUGAGGCUGUGUCACAACUCAGUAAAACCUGGCAGUAACGGGUGGUGAUGCCAUGAUGAAGUGUUGCGGUGUAACUCUGCAGAUAGCAGGAUGGAUCUGGCAGGCACAAGAUGUGGGUGGGUAGCCUAGUCCUUAGGGAGCAAACCAGAGUGAUGCAAUGUUGCUGUUCCCUGACACUGCCCAACUUCUCCAAAAGGAUGGCCAGACGUAGAGCUCUUACGUCCCCAGUGUGUGUCCUAAAGGCUCUGAGCAGCUGAUCCAGUGGGAAUUGCCAGAUAUUGCCCAUUUCCUAAAUUCCAAACGUGAGCCUGCACGAAGACAUCCACUUCUGACACCGAACUGCUGCUCUCCCGUUGAGGACCAGCACAGCUGCCCGCCUCAGGGGCUGCUCAGGCCCACCAUGCCCUGACAAACUUCGCCCACCUCCCUGGGAAGGCCUGAGCCCAGCUGCUGGCCGCGGGACCGGGGGCACAAAAGGCCGUGAGGGAGGACGGUCGCUGAGGGGCCCACGUUUCGCUUCCGAUUCGCCGUGACCUCUCCCGCCUCCCCGGGCCGGCUCGGCCUGUGCCCCGGCCGCGGGCGGGCGGCAUGUGCCGGGCAGGCGCCCCGGAGCCCCGUAGGGCAGGAGACGCGCUCAGGCUCCCACUUCGUCUUGGCAGGGCACCGCCAUCAGACGGAGUGGGAGGAAGAAACAUUAACUCCAGCAGCUGUUUCUUGACCCCGGCUGUCAGCCUGCCCAAGAAUAUGCUUUUUUUUUUUUUUUUCUGUGUGUGCGUGUGUUUUAUUUUUAUUUUCUGGAGUGUGUGCGUGCGUUUUUUAGACACUGUCCGAGUCCCUCGGGGGGCUGAGUUGUGGCGCGGCCGGUGGAAAGUUGGGUGCCCCUGCUGCCGCCGCCCCCUCCCGGGGAGCGGUACCUCCGUUCCGCCCGACGCGUGUGUGUGAGCCGGACACGCACACGCACUCACACACUCACAGACCCACACGCGCGCGCGCACGCACACACAGCCAGCGCCAGCGCUCAGAGCCGUAGCUAGACUACAGUAAUUCCCCAGCAUGGGCGGCUUGAAACUGCUCGGGCUGAAUAGCAUUUGCUGUUCCGUCCCCGCGGCCGCCUCCCGCCGGCCCCGCGCGGCGCUCUCCUCGCUCUCCUCCGCCCGCGAGUUGUGCUGACACAGGCGGGCUGCGCCCUGCAACGCUGCCAAUGGCCGCCGCUCCUCCCGCCGGCGGGAACACCUCAGCGGGAUGGGGUGUGGGGCUGUGCCCCUGCCCCGGAGCGCGGCUGUUCUCCUCGGGGUGGUGUUUGUGUUAACGUGAAGGGAGAGCAGCAUCAGUUCAACUGUGACCAGCAAGCAUGCAAGUCUACCUGCAGCAGUGCUCUCAUCUGUGCUGAGAAACCCUUAGAAAUUGAGAGAUUGUUCUGAAAAGUGCUGUUCAUUUGUGCGGCUCCUGCUCAGGAGAUGCUCAGGGGACACGUUUACCUUUAACCAAUAUGACAGUUCCAGAGAAAUGGAGUUGGAGUUCUGUAGCAGUGUACCCACCAUAUGCUUCCAGACCUGUCAGCUGUGGUGUGCAAAUGAGACAUUGGUGAUGGUUGUACAGACAUGUCAUUUUCACCACAUCGAGCCAUAAUAAACAAUAACACUGAUAUCCAUCUCUGUGAUGAUUUGAGUAAGAGUAAUUUUGCAUUACUGUUGAUUCCAGUUUUAACCCGUGAAUGCUUUACCUGGAGUUGGAACCUGUGGCUGUUUUAUAAAAGGUCUGACCUACAGAGGAAAGGAAGCUGAUAGUGACUGCACGAUCCUCCACAACCUCCUGGUUGACCUUAGACAAGAUAAACCUUCUUGCUCACAACUUCGUUAAUUAUUAUUGUCUGGUCAGAGGCUUUCUCCAAUGCACAUGGCGAUGGAUAAAUGUAAUAAAGAUCCAGCCUAUGCUAUUCUUUCCUUGUGUACUUUAUCUGCUUACAUUUUGUUUAGCUCCGUGAGUUGACAGUUACUUAAACUUUAUGUUCAUCUGCAACAAAUCUAACAAAAAAACAGAAAAGAGGUAAAUAACGGAACUGUCAAGAGGCAGAUCCUGUUAAGUAAGUUUUCUGAGCACUUAAAUCAUUGUGAUACGUAACAUACAUCCAAAACUUUUACUCCAAAUCCUGUCUUGUCUUACUGCAGAAUUAGUUACACUUAGGAAGUGUUUGGUUCCUCUGAUCAUUCACUGAGGCCACAUCUGGUUGCAUGAGCCCUGUGAUUUCAAGGCCUCCCUCUGUGCUUGGACACACUGUAUACCAGAGAACUGUCAAACUGGUCCUGAGAGGUCCUACUCUGCCAAAAGAAAAUGGUUGCAUACAACACUUAGCUGGUCAGGAGAAGGAGACUGUGUUAGCCAGAGGUGUGAUUUGGACGACCUCUGUGAUGACUUCACAUGGUGCAGAUUUGCCCUUUGCAGGAGGAAAAGAUCAGCAUGAUGCAAUGUGAACAAGGGCAGUAUAGCCCAGUGUUAGCCCUCUGCGGAAAUACUAGCCCAUGCUAGUCGCUAGUACGCCAUCUGGGUAGCAUAAUAGGAACUGGUCUUUAGCUAAGAGGAGCAGAGGUACCUCUGCUGCGGAGUAGUAGGGAAAAAUGUUAUUUCAGAGUAGUGCAAAGUGACUGUUUAUAUACUUGUGCUGCCUAAUGCAACUCCCGCAAACUUUAGCUGGAGUUAUAACUCCAUAGUGAUAAAUGCCAUUCGCAAAACAGUCUCAAUUUUUUGCCACUAGAUCUCCUGAUGGAGUGCUGUGAUGCUCUCAGAUUGUGUGUUAAAUAUGUCUCAAAAUUUAAAUCACUUAGUCUGAUAAAGUGGAAGUCCAAAUCUGUCAUCUAAGAGCUGAGUUGACAACGCGAAGAUGGGGAGCUCAGCUAAUCAGCGAAAGUAGCACUAUGUUUUUGUUACAAAAAAUCUACCAACGAUUUACAACGUUGACACACUGUUUACAAAAGUCACAUGAGAGCUAACCUAUUGCCACAGCUGCACAAGUGUUCAUCCUCAGCUGCCACCCAGCUCAACUUUAACUGUAAUUUACUGUUCUGUGGUAGUAAAAAGACGUAUCUUGGAUCCUGGUUAUUUUGUAUGCCAUUAGGUAAACACAGCGAUGAUGUAGAAAGAAUUAUAUAUUCAAAGGGCAUUAAUGUACAUCA
This is a long non-coding RNA of Numida meleagris (helmeted guineafowl), 6547 nucleotides long. RefSeq lists it as uncharacterized. NCBI's taxonomy places the organism in Eukaryota, Metazoa, Chordata, Aves, Galliformes, Numididae. The record is from RefSeq and is a predicted model, not a curated record. The transcript has 5 exons.